This 67-nucleotide transfer RNA is filed under the name Limnichidae sp. MJTNT-2012. Its description in RNAcentral is "tRNA-His". The record is from RNAcentral. Lineage: Eukaryota; Metazoa; Arthropoda; Insecta; Coleoptera; Limnichidae.
UAAUCUAAAUAUUUUAUAAAAAAAUAUUGGUUUGUGGAACCAAAGAAACAAAAUUUUUGUUUUAGAU